AAGGCUCCAACACAGGGAUCCAAGGAUUAUACUUGUGCAUUCGAUCAAACACCUUUUCAUACCAUAUGCUUUCAGCGCUUUUAUUAUCCUGGAAUAUGCGGUGAAAAUGUUCUCCCACUAUUACUGCCUAGAUCAUGACCACUUCAUCCUCAAUUCCUGAAUAAUGAUUGCUGAUUACCUGUAUGCUUACCUUUCCAAAUAUACUUAUUUUCUAGGCG
This 218-nucleotide long non-coding RNA is filed under the name Olea europaea (common olive). RNAcentral's name for it is "long non-coding RNA (OEUR_LNC007711)". Lineage: Eukaryota; Viridiplantae; Streptophyta; Magnoliopsida; Lamiales; Oleaceae. The record is from RNAcentral.